AGUGAACGCUGGCGGUAGGCCUAACACAUGCAAGUCGAACGGCAGCACAGUAAGAGCUUGCUCUUACGGGUGGCGAGUGGAGGACGGGUGAGGAAUACAUCGGAAUCUACUUUUUCGUGGGGGAUAACGUAGGGAAACUUACGCUAAUACCGCAUACGACCUACGGGUGAAAGCAGGGGAUCUUCGCACUUUGCGCGAUUGAAUGAGCCGAUGUCGGAUUAGCUAGUUGGCGGGGUAAAGGCCCACCAAGGCGACGAUCCGUAGCUGGUCUGAGAGGAUGAUCAGCCACACUGGAACUGAGACACGGUCCAGACUCCUACGGGAGGCAGCAGUGGGGAAUAUUGGACAAUGGGCGCAAGCCUGAUCCAGCCAUACCGCGUGGGUGAAGAAGGCCUUCGGGUUGUAAAGCCCUUUUGUUUGGAAAGAAAAGCAGCAGGUUAAUACCCCGCUGUUCUGACGGUACCCAAAGAAUAGGCACCGGCUAACUUCGUG
RNAcentral lists this ribosomal RNA (492 nucleotides) under uncultured bacterium. Its description in RNAcentral is "partial 16S ribosomal RNA". It matches the Rfam family "Bacterial small subunit ribosomal RNA", at positions 29 to 507 of the family's 1533-position model. The record is from RNAcentral.